This 467-nucleotide ribosomal RNA is filed under the name uncultured bacterium. Its description in RNAcentral is "partial 16S ribosomal RNA". It matches the Rfam family "Bacterial small subunit ribosomal RNA", at positions 28 to 507 of the family's 1533-position model. The record is from RNAcentral.
GACGAACGCUGGCGGCGUGCUUAACACAUGCAAGUCGAACGGAAAGGCCCUGCUUUUGUGGGGUGCUCGAGUGGCGAACGGGUGAGUAACACGUGAGUAACCUGCCCUUGACUUGGGAUAACUUCAGGAAACUGGGGCUAAUACCGGAUAGGAGCUCCUGCUGCAUGGUGGGGGUUGGAAAGUUUCGGCGGUUGGGGAUGGACUCGCGGCUUAUCAGCUUGUUGGUGGGGUAGUGGCUUACCAAGGCUUUGACGGGUAGCCGGCCUGAGAGGGUGACCGGCCACUUUGGGACUGAGAUACGGCCCAGACUCCUACGGGAGGCAGCAGUGGGGAAUAUUGCACAAUGGGCGGAAGCCUGAUGCAGCAACGCCGCGUGCGGGAUGACGGCCUUCGGGUUGUAAACCGCUUUCGCCUGUGACGAAGCGUGAGUGACGGUAAUGGGUAAAGAAGCACCGGCUAACUACGUG